AACGAGGUCCAUCCGAUCUUCGGAUUGGUGAAGACCUAGUGGCGAACGGGUGCGUAACACGUGAGAAACCUGCCCCGGUCUCUGGAAUAACAGUUGGAAACGGCUGCUAAUACCGGAUGCCGUCGGACCAUCGCAUGGUGGACCGACGAAAGGGUUACCGGACCGGGAGGGUCUCGCGGCCUAUCAGCUUGUUGGUGAGGUAACGGCUCACCAAGGCAUCGACGGGUAGCUGGUCUGAGAGGAUGAUCAGCCACACUGGGACUGAGACACGGCCCAGACUCCUACGGGAGGCAGCAGUAGGGAAUAUUGCACAAUGGGCGAAAGCCUGAUGCAGCAACGCCGCGUGCGGGAAGAAGGCCCUAGGGUUGUAAACCGCUUUCAGCAGGGAAGAAAAUGACGGUACCUGCAGAAGAAGGUGCGGCCAACUACGUGCCAGCAGCCGCGGUGACACGUAGGCACCAAGCGUUGUCCGGAUUUAUUGGGCGUAAAGAGCUCGUAGGCGGUUCAGUAAGUCGGGUGUGAAAACUCUGGGCUUAACCCAGAGACGCCACUCGAUACUGCUGUGACUCGAGUGCGGUAGGGGAGCGGGGAAUUCCUAGUGUAGCGGUGAAAUGCGCAGAUAUUAGGAGGAACACCAGUGGCGAAGGCGCCGCUCUGGGCCGUAACUGAC
RNAcentral lists this ribosomal RNA (670 nucleotides) under uncultured Actinomycetes bacterium. RNAcentral's name for it is "bacterial SSU rRNA". It matches the Rfam family "Bacterial small subunit ribosomal RNA", at positions 65 to 744 of the family's 1533-position model. The record is from RNAcentral. Lineage: Bacteria; Bacillati; Actinomycetota; Actinomycetes.